GACGAACCGUGCGAACGUUAUUCGGAAUCAUUGGGCUUAAAGGGCGCGUAGGCGGCGAUGUAAGUUGGAAGUGAAAUCCCAUCGGCUCAACCGUGGAAUCGCUCCCAGUACUGCAUUGCUCGAGGGGGAUAGGGGUCUGCGGAACUACCGGUGGAGCGGUGAAAUGUGUUGAUAUCGGUGGGAACGCCAGUGGCGAAAGCGGCAGACUAGACCCUUCCUGACGCUGCAGCGCGCAAGCUAGGGGAGCAAACGGG
Molecule: ribosomal RNA, 254 nt
Filed under: uncultured bacterium
Lineage: Bacteria
Description: partial 16S ribosomal RNA
Rfam family: Bacterial small subunit ribosomal RNA
Source: RNAcentral